This 361-nucleotide long non-coding RNA is filed under the name Bos taurus (domestic cattle). Its description in RNAcentral is "long non-coding RNA NONBTAT023347". The record is from RNAcentral. Lineage: Eukaryota; Metazoa; Chordata; Mammalia; Artiodactyla; Bovidae.
GAUUUUAAAUUAUGAUGGUUACAUACUAUAACUUAAGUCAGUGCAGAGCCUUCUUAAACCCCUCCCUUAGGAAUUGUUUAAAAAGAAGUGAAUUCCCAAACCUGUGUCAAGAACCAGUGAUUUAAAUAACUGUGAGACAAGUCUUUGAAAGGCUUCCUUGAGUCUAGUCAAUGGAGAUAAAUGAUAGCCCAUUUCCAUGCUGCAUACAGUUGUUAGGGUUUAUAAAGUUGUCAAUAUGUAAAAGUGCAAAAGCAGGAAAGACUGUAAAGUUGCCUAUAAAAUUUCUAGUUUUCAUUAUUUGCACUAUUUAUCUUUGCACUUGAUUUUUUGAAAGUUAAGACUAGUCACUUUCACUUUUGUU